This 2047-nucleotide ribosomal RNA is filed under the name Bacteroidales bacterium. Its description in RNAcentral is "partial 23S ribosomal RNA". It matches the Rfam family "Archaeal large subunit ribosomal RNA", at positions 1 to 2043 of the family's 2987-position model. The record is from RNAcentral. Lineage: Bacteria; Pseudomonadati; Bacteroidota; Bacteroidia; Bacteroidales.
AAUAUUGCUACUUGUACUAUCUGGGGGAUAGCUGGGCUUGAGUUGCCUAUGAAGGUCGUGGUAAGCUGCGUUAAGCUUGGGGUAGGAGCAGACAUCCCUUGAUCCCAAGAUUGCCUAAUGGGACUUCCUAAACAGUUUUUCUGUUUGAUCCGUUGAGGAUUGGGAACCCACUGAAUUGAAACAUCUUAGUAGGUGGAGGAAGAGAAAGCAAUAGCGAUAUCGUUAGUAACGGCGAGCGAAAACGAUGUAGGACAAACUGAAUCCCGUACUGUGAGGUAUGUGGAGAUGUGGUGUUUUGGACUUGAUUUUGGAUCUUCUUUUGUUAAGCUGAAGUUGACUUGGAAUGGUUGCACCGUAGAGGGUGAUAGUCCCGUAAGUAUGUGUGAUUGGAGAUUUUUUCUUGUUUCCUGAGUAGGAUGCAUUGGAUAUUGCGUUUGAAUUUGGGUGGCAUCAACACCUAAUCCUAAAUACAUCUCAAGACCGAUAGCGUAUUUAGUACCUUGAGGGAAUGCUGAAAAGAACCCCUAUUGGGGGGUGAAAAGAACUUGAAACCAGAUAGUGAUAGCCCGAUAUGGCCUUUAAGGAAUGAUGCUUUUGUGAAAGAGGCAGUGGUGACGCUGUAGUAUGAUUGAAAGCGGACUAGGGUUGUAUCGUCCGUCUUGUAACACGGGCCAGGGAGUUCUUUGUUGUGGCGAGGAUAAGGAGUGUGUAGCUUCGCAUUCGGAGGGAAACCGAUUCCUCGUAGCAUCUUGUGUGUGUGGGGGGAGGUCUUAAUAGGGCCUUUUAGUCACAGCAUUGAAACCCGAAGCCGGUCGAUCUAUUCCUGAGCAGGAUGAAGUCGCUCUUACGAGUGAUGGAGGUCCGCAGGGUUGUUGUUCUGCAAAACACUCCUCUGACUUGGGAAUAGUGGUGAAAGGCCAAUCAAGGCCGGUGACAGCUGGUUCCACUCGAAAUGACUCUUAGGUCAGCCUGACUGGAGAUUGGUAGCGGGGUAGAGCACUGAUUGGGCGUUUAGGGAGGGAAACUUCUCGGCGUUCUGUAAAACUCCGAACUCGUUACCGUUGUUGAUGGUUGGAGUGCGGGGCGCGGGGUAAGCUUGUGUCCCGAAAGAGAAACAACUCAGACUAUGGUUAAGGUCCCUAAAUGUUGGAUAAGUGUAAGGGAGUCUUUGGCCCAAGACAAUGGGCAGGUGGGCUUAGAAGCAGCCACCCUUUAACGAGUUCGUAACAGAUCACCCAUCGAGGUCAAAGGCAUCUAAAAUGGACGGGAAUUAAUCCAACUACCGAUACCAUAGAACACACGGUUUUGUGUGAUUGUGUAGAGUGGCGAUCUGUGAGGGUUGAAGUGGGGGCGUGAGUUCCUGUGGACCUUGCAGGUAUGCGGAUCCUGGUAGUAGUAGCAGCAAAGUAAGGUGAGAAUCCUUACCGCCGGAGGGGCUAGGGUUCCUUGGCAAUGUUCGUCAGCCAAGGGUUAGUCGAUCCUAAGGCCGGUCGUAAGUCGAGCCGGUCGAAAGGGAAACAGGUUAAUAUUCCUGUACAUAGUUGAUACGUGCGGUGACGCGUGGACUAGUUUCUGACGCUUUGAGAUAGGUUUUGUAUGAUUGUCGUCAUAUUUAAGUGUUUAAGCCAGGGGAGAGGUGUAAUGGCGAGAACCUGGUGUAGGCAUUAAUAGCGACCUGUAUUGGUUGUUUAACUGAUUCAUGGAGUCCUUGAAAAGGGAAUUGGUUUUAGAUUUCACUAUUUCGUACCGAGAUCCGUCACAGGUGCCCCUAGCUGAGUAGGCUAAGGCGUUUUAAGGUAAACUAGCUAAGGGAAAUCGGCAAAAUGGCCCCGUAACUUUGGGAUAAGGGGUGCCAGCUAUGUGAAUAGCUGGUCUCAGUGACUAGGGGGGCCCGACUGUUUAAUAAAAACAUAGCUCUCUGCUAGCCCGUAAGGGUGUGUACAGAGGGCGACACCUGCCCAGUGCUGGCACGUGAAGCUGGAGUUCAGUUCAGUGAAGCGCCAGUAAACGGCGGGGGUAACUAUAACCCUCUUAAGGUAGCGAAAUG